Molecule: long non-coding RNA, 310 nt
Filed under: Zostera marina
Lineage: Eukaryota; Viridiplantae; Streptophyta; Magnoliopsida; Alismatales; Zosteraceae
Description: long non-coding RNA (ZMAR_LNC002660)
Source: RNAcentral
CCUUAACAUAUAUGCUCAGUACAUGAUGUGUGACAUGAAAUGUAUGUGUGGGGAGAGAUCCCUGUGAUUUAUUAGUGCCUUCACAGACAAAGGGUGCAUCGUGUGGCUGAGUCAAGACAUUAGGACUCGAAUUAAAUAUCAGUAUAGAGUAGCAUGCAAAGAAUGAGAGUCAUGCAUGCAGGAUGUAAACCAUAGUGCAUGUUUAAGAUGUCGAUGACAUAGCAUAAAUAUAUGGGUGGCAUGUGGGUGUGACAUGAUAUGAUAUAGAAAUAACUAUCCAGUAGAUCGCAAACUAGAGAUAGGCUAUUUC